UACGAAGGGGGCUAGCGUUGCUCGGAAUCACUGGGCGUAAAGCGCACGUAGGCGGACUCUUAAGUCGGUGGUGAAAUCCUGGAGCUCAACUCCAGAACUGCCUCCGAUACUGGGAGUCUUGGAGUCCGGGAGAGGUGAGUGGAACUGCGAGUGUAGAGGUGAAAUUCGUAGAUAUUCGGAAGAACACCAGUGGCGAAGGCGACUUACUGGACACAUAUUGACGCUGAGGUGCGAAAGCGUGGGGAGCAAACAGG
This 254-nucleotide ribosomal RNA is filed under the name uncultured bacterium. Its description in RNAcentral is "partial 16S ribosomal RNA". It matches the Rfam family "Bacterial small subunit ribosomal RNA", at positions 524 to 776 of the family's 1533-position model. The record is from RNAcentral.